GUAAAAUACUGUUGAUAGUUUGGUGAAUUUACAAAUUUAUUUCUUUUAUCUUUUCAGGCAUUGUAGUCAAUCUAGAGAAAUUAGAAGAAGAACAGAAGAGACCCUGUCUGUGAAUGCUAAUGGAUAUGAUUCCAAUCAAAAACACUCCAGCCCUGAUACCUUCUGAAAUAAGGCUAUCACCAGAGCCCAGCCAAUGCCAACACUGUGCCUUUGAGCUUGAGGACGGUCAGUUAAACAAAGCUCUUUUCUUUAUCAAUUGUCCAGUUUUUGGUAUUUUUGUUAUAGUAAUAGAAGAGAGACGAAUGGGAGUCAUUUAAUUGAUACCAAUGGGUAUAAGG
RNAcentral lists this long non-coding RNA (338 nucleotides) under Fukomys damarensis (Damara mole-rat). RNAcentral describes it as "lncRNA (ENSFDAG00000023501.1)". The record is from RNAcentral. Lineage: Eukaryota; Metazoa; Chordata; Mammalia; Rodentia; Bathyergidae.